UACGCAGGGUGCAAACGUUGCUCGGAAUCAUUGGGCGUAAAGCGCACGUAGGCGGCCUUGCAAGUCGGAUGUGAAAUCCCACGGCUCAACCGUGGACGUGCAUCCGAAACUGCUCGGCUCGAGUAUGGAAGAGGGUCGCGGAAUUCCCGGUGUAGAGGUGAAAUUCGUAGAUAUCGGGAGGAACACCAGUGGCGAAGGCGGCGACCUGGGCCAAUACUGACGCUGAGGUGCGAAAGCGUGGGGAGCAAACAGG
This 253-nucleotide ribosomal RNA is filed under the name uncultured bacterium. Its description in RNAcentral is "partial 16S ribosomal RNA". It matches the Rfam family "Bacterial small subunit ribosomal RNA", at positions 524 to 776 of the family's 1533-position model. The record is from RNAcentral.